GCUUAACACAUGCAAGUCGAACGAGCCUUUCGGGUUUAGUGGCGCAACGGGUGCGUAACGCGUGGGAAUCUACCCUUUUGUACGGGAAUAACUCAGGGAAACUUGAGCUAAUACCGUAUAAUGACUUCGGUCCAAAGAUUUAUCGCCUGAGGAUGAGCCCGCGUAGGAUUAGCUUGUUGGUGAGGUAAAAGCUCACCAAGGCGACGAUCCUUAGCUGGUCUGAGAGGAUGAUCAGCCACACUGGGACUGAGACACGGCCCAGACUCCUACGGGAGGCAGCAGUGGGGAAUAUUGGACAAUGGGCGAAAGCCUGAUCCAGCAAUGCCGCGUGAGUGAUGCAGGCCUUAGGGUUGUAAAGCUCUUUUACCCGGGAUGAUAAUGACAGUACCGGGAGAAUAAGCCCCGGCUAACUCCGUGCCAGCAGCCGCGGUAAUAC
Molecule: ribosomal RNA, 436 nt
Filed under: uncultured Alphaproteobacteria bacterium
Lineage: Bacteria; Pseudomonadati; Pseudomonadota; Alphaproteobacteria
Description: bacterial SSU rRNA
Rfam family: Bacterial small subunit ribosomal RNA
Source: RNAcentral